RNAcentral lists this non-coding RNA (94 nucleotides) under human gut metagenome. The record is from RNAcentral. RNAcentral also lists the same sequence under 1 other name.
UAUAGGGGGGCUGGGUGAUCCCGGCUGAGAUAGGGCUAAUUGAGGCCCGUACCCUUGAACCUGAUGCGGGUAAUGCCGACGUAGGAAAGCUUUU